GACGAACGCUGGCGGCGUGCUUAACACAUGCAAGUCGAACGGAAAGGCCCUGCUUUUGUGGGGUGCUCGAGUGGCGAACGGGUGAGUAACACGUGAGUAACCUGCCCUUGACUUUGGGAUAACUUCAGGAAACUGGGGCUAAUACCGGAUAGGAGCUCCUGCUGCAUGGUGGGGGUUGGAAAGUUUCGGCGGUUGGGGAUGGACUCGCGGGUUAUCAGCUUGUUGGUGGGGUAGUGGCUUACCAAGGCUUUGACGGGUAGCCGGCCUGAGCGGGUGACCGGCCACAUUGGGACUGAGAGACGGCCCAGAAUCCUACGGGAGGCAGCAGUGGGGAAUAUUGCACAAUGGGCGGAAGCCUGAUGCAGCAGCGCCGCGUGCGGGAUAACGGCCUUCGGGUUGUAAACCGCUUUCGCCUGUGACGAAGCGUGAGUGACGGUAAUGGGUAAAGAAGCACCGGCUAACUACGUG
This 468-nucleotide ribosomal RNA is filed under the name uncultured bacterium. RNAcentral describes it as "partial 16S ribosomal RNA". It matches the Rfam family "Bacterial small subunit ribosomal RNA", at positions 28 to 507 of the family's 1533-position model. The record is from RNAcentral.